UGAACUUUCAGAUGAACCGAAUUGUUUCGUAUGUCCCGGUCCAAGGACUGUCAUAAGGACUGCUUUGGUAGCAAAAUGUCUAAAAAAAUAUUUUUUCUACAGCCUGUAAGCGACAGCUGAUGAAGUAUUUCUGUUCCCAGAUGUACAUCAUCCAAUUAUAGAUAUGAUUUAGUGAUCUCCAAACUUUCAAGAACCUACUGACCUUUUUGCUAGUUUACUGCUGAGACUAAAAGUAUACCACGGCCAAACAUACAAUCGCUUAUUCUCAUUGUAGUUAAUUAUACGAUAAGACACCUACUUCCGUAAACAAUGGCCUUAUACAAAUCGCAGUGAAACAAUAAGUCGCCUACACGCGUUUCGAAAUUGGGACAACAGCUUUUAACAUAUGAUCUUCACAAGUUUGUAAAUAUAAUCAAAAUACCCGUUAUGGCAAGCGCUUCGUUUCAGCUGCCUUGCGCAUCGCAGAGCUUAGGUACAGUCAACAGUUUGGUGUCUACGUUGGUCCAAACACUGCUAACAGCACAAUGUGCUAUUUCAGCAGAGCCGAAUUGGCCAAAGGAUUAUGGUGAUACGGCCAUAAAGGAAGGACUUGGAAAAUACGAUUUCAUUGUGGUAGGCGCCGGUACAGCAGGUUCGGUGGUGGCAAGUCGUUUGAGUGAAAAUCCCAAGUGGAAAGUGUUGGUGUUGGAAGCUGGCGACGACCCUCCACAAGAGUCAGAGAUACCUAGCUUGACUAGUACUGUACAGCAAAGCCCUUACACCUGGAGUUACUAUUCCGAACCGCUUGCGCACGUUUGUCAGGGGCUUAUCCACCGCCUCUGCUUUCAUCCACGCGGAAAGGCUAUAGGUGGUUCGGGCGCAAUCAACGGAAUGAUGUACGUGGAAGGACAUCGCAAGGAUUUCGACGAUUGGCUGGCCGCAGGCAACACAAAGUGGGGCUGGGCGGAUGUCAAGCGCUAUUAUGAGAAAGCGGUGCGCCCAGUGGGCAAUGCCACACAUCCAAAAGGAUAUGUAGUGCUGAACGAGAAUUACUCAGACCAAAAAUUGGUAAUAGGCAACGUGAUCUUCAAUGCCACCGCAGAGUUGGGCUUACCACGGUUGGGAAAGCUGGAGAAUGGCAUAGAAAUAGGUACAAUGUAUUUGCCAGUAACGGCGAGAGUUGGUAGACGGAUGUCCACGGGCAAAGUGCAUUUGGCGAAAGUGUCCGGGCGUCCCAAUUUGCACGUGAUAAAAAAUGCGCAUGUGCGCAAGAUACACUUCGAACGUGGCGGUAAGGUAGCCACCAAGGUAACGUUUCUGCUGCGUGGCGUGCAUGAGCUAAGCGCCGAAGUGCACAAAGAGGUAGUGCUUUCAGCUGGUGCUAUAGAUUCACCAAAGUUGUUGCUUUUAUCCGGUGUGGGCCCGCGCAAGCAUCUCAAAGAGUUGCGCAUUUCGGUGGUGCGCGACUUGGCGGUUGGCGCGAAUUUGUGCGAUCAUGUUAUCACUACGAUCUUUUUCAGAUUACCCAAUAACACCUUAGUUGAGCCCAGUCAUCAUAGUUUGCGCCCAACAGAUGCCAUCUAUGAUUAUCUAAUACAUAAUCGAGGCAAUUUGAGCGGCAUUCCCAGUGGUCUUACGUCUUUCCUAAAUACCAAAGGUGACAGCUCUGUUCCAGACAUAGAGUUCCAUUAUAAUCUCUAUCGAAGUGAAAAUAGGCAACUCUUCCUAGGUCACAUGGCCAGGCGUAAUGAAAAGAUAAUUGCAAGCAUAAAUCAGAAUUUCAAGGACUCGCAUUUGAUAAACUUUAUGUUGAUACUCGCCAAACCGCGUUCCGUUGGCAAAUUGCGACUACGCAGUGCCGAUUAUCUAGAUGCGCCACGCAUGUACUCCAAUUACCUUGAUGAUCCUGAAGAUAUAGCGACUAUGCUUCGCGGUAUCCGCUUUCUUGAAAGUCUGGAGCGCACGAAGACCAUGCGCGCACUUAAUGCAACUUUGCUUCAUAUACCGUGUGACGAAUGCGACAGCUAUAAGUACCGUUCGGACGCCUAUUGGCGCUGUUACAUCAAAUAUAUGGGAGAGGGAGGUUUUCACCACGUUGGCACUGUGAAAAUGGGUCCAAAGAGCGAUCGGGACGCAUGUGUCAACCCACGCCUACUAUUGCAUGGCGUACAGAAUUUACGUGUAGCGGAUGCCAGCAUUAUGCCGGAUGUACCACGGGGCAAUACGAAUGCGCCGGCGAUUAUGAUCGGCGAGCGCGCGGCAGUAUUUAUAAAGGAGGAUUGGAACGAGUGCACGGAGCUGGUGGAGCCGAAGUGAGAAUAACAAUAUAAAAAUAAAAUCCAAUAAAUAACUAACUUAAUUAUAUUUACUGGGCAAUGAAGUCUCAAACCGAGUGGAAGUUUGGGUUUAAAGAGGGGAAAAAUAAAUAAACAAGCUGAGCUAAAAUAGACUUGUGUGUUUACGUCUAUUUCUUCUGUGAAUAUGUGGUGUGUCCAUACAAUAAAACCUAGGAGACUAAAAGCGGUCAUUGGCC
This 2512-nucleotide unclassified non-coding RNA is filed under the name Bactrocera tryoni. RNAcentral describes it as "glucose dehydrogenase [FAD, quinone]-like, transcript variant X1". Lineage: Eukaryota; Metazoa; Arthropoda; Insecta; Diptera; Tephritidae. The record is from RNAcentral.